CCCAGGCUGGAUCUCAGCCCUGAGUUGUGGGCCCAUUUCCACCUCAGCCAGAGGACACAGCGCGGGGUACACUUGACAGCCUAUCCUGAAGCCCCGCAAAAAAGAGCCAAUCUCAUUCGAUCAAAGUCAGAGCCAACAGUUCAAGAAGCCCGGUUGGAGGUCAUCUGGCAAUUAGCCGGCUGGAGGAGAGCGGAGCGCGGGGUAGGCAGGACCCUCGGCGCAUCUCCCACGCCGUUCACAGGUGACACUGCAGGGAUCAGCCUGGGGCCACCCGCCUCUUGGUUAUUUCAGUCUCCUGCGCUCCUGGGGCCGGGGGGGGGGGGGGACCCUCAUCACUGCGUGGGAGGCCGAGGAAGGAGACGCGGGACGCGCGCGAGCGAGGAGCUGCGGGUCCACUGGGCGGGCGCCAGCCGCGCGGGGCGGGGAGGGGGGAGGGCGCGGGGACGGGACCCCAAAAGGGUGACAGCGGCCCGGAGCCUGGGCGGAGCUCCGGGGGGCAGUCCCCGCGCGCGCAAGCCGCGCCCCCGCACUUGCCCCUCCUCUGCCCCGGCGGGGGGCAACCGCAGCCCGCGGGGAGUGGGGCAGCCCGGCCAGCGGCGCCCCGGGAUCGCUCGGUCUCCGCCCGCCCCUCCCUCUCCGUCUCCGUCUCCGCGGGCCUCCGCCCCCUCCCCCUCCCCCCGCCCCUCGCGUCCUAAAACGCGGCGGGCGCCUUUAAGAGGGAGCCGCGGUUGCCCCGGGGGCGGGCACCCCUCGGCAGCUCGGGAGGCGGCGGCGCUCGCCCGCGAUGCUGCUCCCUCCCGGCUCCAGCUCCCGCCGCCUGCAUCGCCGCCGCCGCCGCCGCCGCCUCCUCCUCUGCCUCGAGGCGUCGUUUUCUGCAGCGGAGAGAAGUGCUAUGUCCGGAAAGUUCCGGGAGGGACUGGAUGGGGCCAUGCGCCCCGGGCUCCCGAGCCGGCGCCCGCGCGCAGCCCUUUGUAUGAGGCAAAAGGAUUCCUAUGGAAGAUGGAACUCUGUUUUCCAGAAUGUGUUUCCAAACCAAUCAAUGAAACAUGAUACUGCUGCUCUGUGUUGAAAUGCUUGAAGAACACCCACAUCUCUGUCAGCG
RNAcentral lists this long non-coding RNA (1102 nucleotides) under Canis lupus familiaris (dog). Its description in RNAcentral is "lncRNA (ENSCAFG00030004864.1)". Lineage: Eukaryota; Metazoa; Chordata; Mammalia; Carnivora; Canidae. The record is from RNAcentral.